CCUGAUCCAGCCAUGCCGCGUGCAGGAUGAAGGCCUUCGGGUUGUAAACUGCUUUUGUACGGAACGAAACGGUCCUUUCUAAUAAAGGGGGCUAAUGACGGUACCGUAAGAAUAAGCACCGGCUAACUACGUGCCAGCAGCCGCGGUAAUACGUAGGGUGCGAGCGUUAAUCGGAAUUACUGGGCGUAAAGCGUGCGCAGGCGGUUAUGUAAGACAGUUGUGGAAUCCCCGGGCUCAACCUGGGAACUGCAUCUGUGACUGCAUAGCUAGAGUACGGUAGAGGGGGAUGGAAUUCCGCGUGUAGCAGUGAAAUGCGUAGAUAUGCGGAGGAACACCGAUGGCGAAGGCAAUCCCCUGGACCUGUACUGACGCUCAUGCACGAAAGCGUGGGGAGCAAACAGGAUUAGAUACCCUGGUAGUCCACGCCCUAAACGAUGUCAACUGGUUGUUGGGUCUUCACUGACUCAGUAACGAAGCUAACGCGUGAAGUUGACCGCCUGGGGAGUACGGCCGCAAGGUUGAAACUCAAAUGAAUUGACGG
This 541-nucleotide ribosomal RNA is filed under the name uncultured bacterium. RNAcentral's name for it is "bacterial SSU rRNA". It matches the Rfam family "Bacterial small subunit ribosomal RNA", at positions 382 to 916 of the family's 1533-position model. The record is from RNAcentral.